GACGAACGCUGGCGGCGUGCUUAACACAUGCAAGUCGAACGGAAAGGCCCUGCUUUUGUGGGGUGCUCGAGUGGCGAACGGGUGAGUAACACGUGAGUAACCUGCCCUUGACUUUGGGAUAACUUCAGGAAACUGGGGCUAAUACCGGAUAGGAGCUCCUGCUGCAUGGUGGGGGUUGGAAAGUUUCGGCGUUUGGGGAUGGACUCGCGGCUUAUCAGCUUGUUGGUGGGGUAGUGGCUUACCAAGGCUUUGACGGGUAGCCGGCCUGAGAGGGUGACCGGCCACAUUGGGACUGAGAUACGGCCCAGACUCCUACGGGAGGCAGCAGUGGGGAAUAUUGCACAAUGGGCGGAAGCCUGAUGCAGCAACGCCGCGUGCGGGAUGACGGCCUUCGGGUUGUAAACCGCUUUCGCCUGUGACGAAGCGUGAGUGACGGUAAUGGGUAAAGAAGCACCGGCUAACUACGU
Molecule: ribosomal RNA, 467 nt
Filed under: uncultured bacterium
Lineage: Bacteria
Description: partial 16S ribosomal RNA
Rfam family: Bacterial small subunit ribosomal RNA
Source: RNAcentral